CUUUCUAGACAGGAAAAGCUCCGGGCGCAGCCAAUCGGGGUACAGCUGCCAGCAUCUGGGGCAUCUGGCUGCCGCUGUCGGGCAAUGGAGACCUUCCCAGACAGGCUGCGGGAACCGCUGGGGCUGUAGCCGCCUCUCUCUCUCUCCUUUUGGCCGGUUGGAGCCACAGGCAGAUCCAGCUUCCAGGAGAACGGCCGCCGCAGCAUGGGCAUUCAGCUGGCCAGCACAUAAUGCUCCCAUGUGCCUCCACCUGGCCUGUCCCCGCGGAGCGCCUUCCCUGCCCUGACUCCCUCGGCCAUGCGCGAGAGGAGCCUUCCUGCUUGACGGAUCUACAAUGUGACCUCUCGCAGCACCAUGGAGUCCUUCGUGGUGGUAGCGGAGUGCGACUCUCCUCCCAGUUCCACGCCGGGCCAGCCGGAGGGCCUGGUGGAGGAGGAACCCAUGGAGCCGUGUGAAGAGCAGGCCCUCCUGGCCCCAGGCCCUGGAGAUCUUGGAGAACCAGGCCUGGCCAUCCCUUCGGGGACAUCCUCCAGAGAGACCAGGGAACCUUGGAUCAAAGUCAACUUUUCAAGUCGCAAGCUGUCUCUGCAAGAGAGAUCUCCCUCCGUUCAGUCCCCCAGCGGGAACCUGGGGGUCAACGGGCGCUACAUCUAUCCUUCCCUCCCUUACUCCCCCGUCACCUCCCCACACUCCUCCCCGCGGCUGCCCCGGAGGCCCACCAUUGAGUCCCACAGGGUGUCGAUCACGGGGUUGCAGGAUUGCGUGCAGCUCAAUCAAUACACUCUGAAGGAUGAAAUUGGAAAGGGCUCCUACGGUGUUGUGAAGCUGGCGUACAAUGAAGACGACAACACUUACUAUGCAAUGAAAGUGCUUUCGAAGAAGAAGUUGAUGAGACAAGCCGGCUUCCCACGCCGCCCUCCUCCUCGCGGUGCCAAACUGCCCUUGGAAGGUUUCUGCCAACCUAGAGGACCCAUUGAGCAGGUCUACCAAGAGAUCGCCAUCUUGAAGAAGCUGGACCACCCAAACAUUGUGAAGCUGGUGGAGGUACUGGAUGACCCCACCGAAGAUCACUUAUACAUGGUGUUUGAGCUUGUGAAAAAAGGGCCUGUGAUGGAGGUUCCCAAUUUGAAACCUCUAACUGAAGAUCAGGCACGAUUCUAUUUCCAAGACCUGAUCAAAGGCAUUGAAUAUUUACACUACCAAAAAAUUAUCCAUCGGGAUAUUAAACCUUCCAACCUCUUGGUGGGAGAAGAUGGCCACAUCAAGAUUGCCGAUUUUGGCGUGAGCAACGAAUUCAAAGGAUCGGACGCCCUCUUAACCAACACGGUGGGCACUCCAGCAUUUAUGGCUCCCGAGACCCUCUCGGAAACCAGGAAAAUAUUUUCAGGAAAGGCUUUAGAUGUCUGGGCAAUGGGAAUCACGCUGUACUGUUUCGUCUUCGGACAGUGUCCUUUUAUGGAUGAACGAAUCCUCAGUCUGCACAGCAAAAUCAAGAGCCAAACGCUGGAAUUUCCGGACCAACCAGACAUUCCCGACGAACUGAAGGAUCUAAUAACCCAGAUGCUGGAUAAAAAACCCGAAUCCAGGAUCACCAUCCCAGAAAUUAAGCUGCAUCCGUGGGUCACCAAGAAUGGCACCGAACCGCUGCCGACCGAAGAUGAAAAUUGCACGCUGAUCGAGGUGACCGAAGAAGAGGUGGAGAAUUCAGUCAAGCACAUCCCCAGCUUAGCCACCGUGGUGAGUGGACUUUGGAUAUCCCGUCCUGCGGUUGAUGCGCUGCCAGCCUUUCAGGAGUGUCGAUCCGACGUCUUUCAAAUCGGCUCCGAUUUCGAUCCUGGUAAAAUCCAUGAUCAGGAAAAGAUCUUUUGGGAAUCCAUUUGAGGGGAGUAGAAGAGAGGAAAGAUUUCUGUCUGCACCAGACCGACAGACUUACUUGAUAAAGCAAAGCAGCGAAGAGGCUUUCCGCGCUGCCAACGAUCUGCCAAACCUGAGCGAAGACGACCUGCUUUCUUGAAGGAAAAAAACAAAAAAAAGACCCACACCCUUGCCCUUCCUGGAAAGGCGGGGGGCUCCUGGCUUGCUCGCCACUCGGGGUCUGUGAGAAGAGGGCGCCCUGCAGACGGUUGGGCCGGCUUGCCUUCCCCGACGUUGGUUCAUUGUUUAAAUAACCGAAUGUAAAGGUUUUUGUGACAGCAUGCUGUACAGAUCAGAACCCAUUCCCUCACCAUCCAAAAAAGAUCUCUGCCGAUUUAAAAACAGGAUGUGAGAAGCGAGGAGGAUUAUCUUCAGGCUCGCUGGCGGUCAUCCCCCCCAGUUGGGAAGUAUUGUGCUGAAUUUCCGGGGGGGGAAAAAAGGGCAAAGCAAAGAAACUCACCAAAAAUAAAACUGAGUUUGGAAAGAAA
Molecule: RNA transcript, 2402 nt
Organism: Ahaetulla prasina
Lineage: Eukaryota; Metazoa; Chordata; Lepidosauria; Squamata; Colubridae
Gene: CAMKK2
Gene name: calcium/calmodulin dependent protein kinase kinase 2
Exons: 16
Source: RefSeq, a predicted model, not a curated record